RNAcentral lists this transfer RNA (79 nucleotides) under Clostridium botulinum C str. Eklund. Its description in RNAcentral is "tRNA-Arg". It matches the Rfam family "tRNA". Rfam says of the family: Transfer RNA (tRNA) molecules are approximately 80 nucleotides in length. Their secondary structure includes four short double-helical elements and three loops (D, anti-codon, and T loops). Further hydrogen bonds mediate the characteristic L-shaped molecular structure. tRNAs have two regions of fundamental functional importance: the anti-codon, which is responsible for specific mRNA codon recognition, and the 3' end, to which the tRNAs corresponding amino acid is attached (by aminoacyl-tRNA synthetases). tRNAs cope with the degeneracy of the genetic code in two manners: having more than one tRNA (with a specific anti-codon) for a particular amino acid; and 'wobble' base-pairing, i.e. permitting non-standard base-pairing at the 3rd anti-codon position. Lineage: Bacteria; Bacillati; Bacillota; Clostridia; Eubacteriales; Clostridiaceae. The record is from RNAcentral. RNAcentral also lists the same sequence under 1 other name.
UGCGUCUUUAGCUCAGCUGGAUAGAGCAACGCCCUUCUAAGGCGUGGGCCAGGAGUUCGAAUCUCUUAAGACGCACCAU